CGGGGCGGGGGGGGGCCGUAGGUGCAUGGGACGGUGGGAGGGGGCGGUGUCCGGGGAGACGCGUCAGCCGCCGCCGUCGUCGCGGCGUCCCUCCCCUCCGGCGGCCCCAGCCCCGCGGGGAGCGGCGCGGCGGGGAUGAGGCGGGCCGCCUCGCACCCACCGUAGCGGCGCGCCCGCCUCCGCCAUGAAACGGAAGAGCUGGGCCGAGGCCCGGCGCCGCGCAGCCCCGGCGUCGCCGGCUCUGAAGAGAACUCGAGGCGCGGCGUCGCGGGCAGCCGGGGGCGAGACGGAACGGCGGCAGCCGCCCCCCGUCGGUCCGGAGAUCUGCCUGAGGAUCGCCGAUCGCCUUUAUUUUGCAAUUCUCUGCCAAAAACCAAAGAGUGGAGCUGCAAAUACCCAUUAUUUCUGCAUAGAUGAUGAACUUGUAUAUGAGAACUUCUAUGCAGACUUUGGACCACUCAAUCUGGCAAUGGUCUACAGAUACUGCUGCAAGCUAAAUAAGAAAUUAAAGUCAUUGUCAUUGAUAAGGAAGAAAAUAAUUCAUUAUACUGGCUUUGAUCAGAAAAAACAAGCAAAUGCUGCAUUCCUCAUAGGCGCCUACGCAAUAAUAUACCUGAGAGAAUCUCCAGAAGACGUGUACAGGCUUAUAUUCACUGGAGGCAUCUCAUAUCUUCCUUUCAGGGAUGCUUCCUUUGGUACUUGCAGUUUUCAUCUGACAUUGCUGGACUGUUUUCAUGCAAUAAACAAGGCUUUGCAGUAUGGUUUCCUGGAUUUCAAUACGUUUGAUGUAAAUGAAUACGAGCAUUAUGAAAGAGCAGAAAAUGGAGAUUUUAACUGGAUAAUACCAAACAAAUUCAUUGCCUUCAGUGGACCUCAUUCAAGAAGUAAAAUUGAAAAUGGCUAUCCCCACCAUGCUCCAGAGGCCUAUUUCCCAUACUUCAGGAAACAUAAGGUCACCACUAUAAUACGCCUCAACAAAAAACUGUAUGAUGCCAAGCGAUUUACAGAUGCUGGAUUUGAGCAUUUUGACCUCUUCUUUGCUGAUGGAAGCACACCUGGUGAUACAAUAGUUAAAACGUUUCUAAAUAUUUGUGAAAAUGCUGAAGGUGUUAUAGCCGUCCAUUGCAAAGCUGGUCUUGGACGAACUGGCACACUUAUUGCCUGUUACAUUAUGAAGCAUUAUCGGAUGACAGCUGCUGAAACUAUUGCGUGGAUUAGAAUAAAUAGACCUGGUUCAGUGAUUGGACCACAACAACACUUCCUGAUGGACAAACAGGCAGAACUUUGGACAGAAGGAGAUAUUUUCCGUGCCAAGUUGAAAGAGAACCGUGAAAUUGCUGUAACAAGAAUUCUGUCAGGAGUGGAUGAUAUUUCAAUUAAUGACACGGGAAACAGGAGGACCAUCCAAAAGGACAUUGAACUGUACAGCGAUGAAGAUGAAGCAAACUGUGUAACACAAGGUGAUAAGCUUCGUGCUCUGAAAAGUAGAAGGCAGGCAAAAGCUCCAGCAGCCUCUCCGCUAACAUGGGUCCUAGCUAUGCUGGUGUCUACACUGUGUAGCAUUGUCAUCUGGUGGAUUGUAUGUGGCUCCCUUCUGCCCAGCCUGCUAUUCUGUCUAGAUGGUUUAAGAACAUAGUAACCAUCAGGACCCCCUGAGAGAGAGCCACUGUUCUGAUACCUCAGAGGGAGAGAAGGAAAAGGAAUGCUUUACAGCAAAUGCGCUUAAUGAAAUUAUGCAUCCAAUCCGUCUCAAGGACUAGAGCAGUAUUGCGUUAAAUUUCAAAUAAGCAACCAGUGUUGAAGAGGAUAUUCAGGAAUGAAGGGGAUGUGACUAAAGGGGACUUGAUGCAAUUCGAGGAAGAUUACUUUGCUUCCAUUUUUCAGCAAAAGUGAAACAGAAGAAUCUCUUCCAUACUUUUAGAAUAAAAUGAACUGUCAAUAUGCCUGGUAGACACUUUCCUUAUGUGCUAACACUUCCUCAAACAAAACCAACAAAAUCUGUGUACAUUUAGACUCAGGUGUAAAUACUUAAGCUCUCUAUUAUAAAGAGGGCUUGCUAGUAUGUAUGAUGCAUGUGUAUAAAGUGUGAUGGCAAUCACUUAGCUGCUGACUACCAGCAAUUAAAAGGUGGUGGGAGCUUUUAAAUAUAUAAAUCUGUGUUGUCCAUUCAGACUGGGCUCAAGUCUCUACUUGAGAUUGAAAAUAAACCACAAAAGCUUUUUUCUUCUAGUAUUGGUACUCUCCUUUGUUAAUUGGCUAUUCUUUAUUAUUUUGUAUGAAGUUUUUUAUAAAGCCACAGUAUUGAGUACACAAAAUAACUAUUAUCCACCAAAGAGUGCUUUAUUUUCAAAGGUUGUGUGGUUUGUUUAUUUUUUAAAAAAACUAACUCUAAGCAAUUAAUUAAUUUUCAAUAGUAAUAGAUUUUUAUUUGUUCACAACCAAUGGCUCUUUUAACUAGUUGCAAUUGCUUUAAAUCUGGUAGGAUUUUAAAGGGGAGGAAAAAGAGCUUACCAUUUAAAGCCAUGCUGUCAUAUUGAAAUGUCAUUGCUCUUUCUUUUCCUAUCUUAAGUCUUUUAAGUGAAACUUCAGAUUAGCGUAUCUAAAAGGUGAGAAUUUUCCCCAGGUUUUAUUGGUACACUUGAUAAUAUGUGGAUGUCACUGUUUUUUAGCUUUGAGACACAAAAUGAGCGCAGCACACAAAAAAGGGAAAAUAAGCUUGCUGUACAACUGAGCUUGGUAGUGGAACUCAGGGCAGGUAGUUUUUAACAUCUAAUGAACACUUGAAAAACUACAGCUUACCUCUGCUAAAAAGCAGUCUGAUUUUUAGGGGAAUCUGUCCGAGACUGAAAUUUUGAUCCACUACAAGACUGUCUGCUAACACUGGCAGCGUUUGUUCCCUACCACUUCUCACAUGAUGAAAUCUCAAAGCCAACUUUGCAGUGAUGUACCCUUGUUUGCCAACCGAAGUUUAUAGCUGCAUAUCCCUCAGAUGACGACUGUUACCACAUAGCCUUAAAUACAAUACAGUUAUCUGUUGAUUUAGUGACUCCUGCAGUAGAAAGUAGAAGAAAUGGAGAGAUCUGAAAUGCAAUAACUGCAGGUUUUUUUAAGAUACAGGUAACCUCUGCAAGGGGGAGAAUUUUCUUUUUAUGAAUGUAAAUGGGCAGAUUCAGUGACUGGUUUCAAUCUACAUCCUUUUAAAUUAAAAUAAACCUUUCUGUUAGGCUGGUGAUUUUUGAAUGCCAGUAUGAAUAACCACAUAUUGGCUUGAAAACAUUCUGUGUCAAGAGCAUCAUGAGUUGGAGGGGAAGCAGGAUGUGAAGUGUAAGUAAGCUUACAGGUAGCAUCCGUGUUUGGAUAGCAAAAAUUGGACAAUAUGAAUACAAAGAAAACAGAAGGGGCUUGCAUGGUGCAAAACAAAGGACUGUUGAGGCUCAGACCCCCAAUAUCCUUUGUUUUCUUCAUAAUCUUAAUCCUCAACACCAUUUUCUUCUAGGUAAAAAGCACCUAAAAAAGAGGGACAGAAUUCACCCCCAUACAGUGAUUAAAAUUUCUUGGGGUAUUUGGGGUUUUUUUUUGUUUUAGAGUUUUUUUUAAGUAAGCCACUUGCCAAAAAGCUGAAGUACAAUAGUAGGUAUACUGUGCAAAUAUGAAUCUGUGUUUAUUUUUGAAGAAAAUUCUUAUCUUGGAAGGCAGAAAGGAGGUCAGAGGGUGAGAGUCAAAACAAGAAAGAUUUAGUAGUAUUUGCUCUGUUUGGUUUUGCCCUUCUCUCAGCCACGCUUCCUCUUUUAGCAGCUUUGUUUUUAACCCAAAAAUAAUUGGUCUAUUUCACACCUCUUCCAAAUUGGAAUUUGCCUUUUUUAAAGUAACCAGCAGAGCCAUUAGCGCUUGCAUAAAACAAGUGCACAAACACACACAAUAACAACUCUAGCUAAACCAAAACUGCAUGUUUGGCAUGAAUGUGUUUCGGGAUACCCCUUCCACCACUCAGUAUCUUCGUGAGAAACACAUAUAUGUCAAAGGGAUUUUACAUUUGAACUUUCCAAGCAGCCUUAUAUGGAAAACUAACUCAUUACCUCACUGUGCCCCAUCUAAUUGUACUGCUUAGUUUGUUCUUCUGAUUUUUUAGUACUUUGUCUAGCAUUUUUAUUAUACCAUACCACAGCUGUCUUAAAUACAAGAAUGAAGAGUGGGCACGGGUGAGGGAGUCCUUAGUUUUUAAAGGUUUUUUGAAUUCUGAAGUAUUAUGUGCCAAAAUGGAAUGCGUGGCAGCAGCUGCAUCACUGUUGUACCACAAAGCAGCUUAAGGAAGUUAUUUCUGCUGUCAUCAAUUAGGAGUUUUUCCUUAGAAAUUAUCUCUCCUCUUUCAAAUACAUGACAAAUGGAUUGUCACUUGAUCUCUUAUUCAAAAGUAUGCAACAAACUCAAAAGCUGUACUACCUUGGGUCAAAUUGCUAGCUUCCAUUACAGCAUCAGUAACUUAACUCAGAUGCUAACCCAGACCUUGUCUUUUUGCCCCAGUAUGACAAUAGAGGAAGUGCUGCUGAUUUAAAACUAUGAUUUGUAGAGACUCGUGCAUUAAAAUGGAAAAAAAAAAAAAAAAAAAGGUUCACCAGUUUGUUGCGCUGCAGUUUUUUUAUAUUAAUGGUUUGCAGACUGUUUGUCUUGUGUAAACUCAUGUACAGACUAUCAAGACCUAAAAUUUCUUGACUAAUCAGUACUGUUCAUCCUGAUUAUUUUUAAAUUGUAUAUUUCUAAUCCUAUUUUUUUAACUUGGAUUGACAGAAUGGGAGUUUAUUUUGCUGAAGGUAUUUUUAAAAGCUUCGUAUUAUCUUGUAAUAUUAAGUUCAAUAUGCAUUUGUGUCUCAUUUGAAAAUAGUGCAUACUGUAUUUGAUUUUAUAUGAAAUAUUGAAUAGUGAGAAUAUAAACAUGAAUUGUGUAAAAUUAAAAAUAAUAAUCAGAA
Grus americana (Whooping crane) is the source of this 4964-nucleotide RNA transcript. It is a transcript of the gene named cell division cycle 14B, with no coding region annotated. The record is from RefSeq and is a predicted model, not a curated record. NCBI's taxonomy places the organism in Eukaryota, Metazoa, Chordata, Aves, Gruiformes, Gruidae. The transcript has 15 exons.